CUCUUGUUGCCAAGGCUGGAGUGCAAUGGUGCAAUCUUGGUUCGCUACAACCUCCGCCUCUUGGAUGAGAAAAUUUAAAGAAGACAUGUAAUUUCUCCAAAGUCACCCAGCUCAGAAAUGCCCUGGCGGAGAAUGUGAAGAUGAGGCCAGAGGGAACAUUGAGAAGAAGGAUCUCAGAGAAGAAGGAAAAUUCAACAGAACCUAGGAAAUGCAACUGCUAUUGCCUGGGCCUUUGUUCCUGGAAUGGACUCUGCAUGAUGCAGCUUGGAGGACAUCUCCUCUGGGAUCCCUCCCCACUGCCCCCACCACUUCCUGGAGUGAAUGAGUCCUCUGUAGCCAUCAGGAUUCGCUGUAUCAGGAGUGUUCCUCUGCUGUCACCUCUGAUGACUAUUUUCCUCAAUUCAGAAUCCCCAGCACCUGCAAAAGGUCUGGAUCAAGAAGGGGCUGAGCAGGAACAGAGGAUUG
Molecule: long non-coding RNA, 465 nt
Filed under: Pongo abelii (Sumatran orangutan)
Lineage: Eukaryota; Metazoa; Chordata; Mammalia; Primates; Hominidae
Description: lincRNA
Source: RNAcentral